CAAGUUUAGCAAACUCAACCAAACUCCGAAUGCCGUUAGUGGAAGCCUGGGAGUGAGACAGUGACGGAUAAGCGCCAUUGUCGAAAGGGAAACAGCCCAGAUCGCAAGCUAAGGUCCCCAAGUAAUGACUAAGUGGUAAAGGAGGUGGGAUCGCCCAGACAGCUAGUAGGUUGGCUUAGAAGCAGCCAUCCUUUAAAGAGUGCGUAAUAGCUCACUAGUCGAGGGGUUCUGCGCCGAAAAUUAUCGGGGCUAAGUCAUUCACCGAAGCUGCGGGAUUCUUUAUGAAUCGGUAGGGGAGCGUUCUCAAUGCGUUGAAUCUGAAUUGUGAGAUUUGGUGGAGCGUUGAGAAGUGAGAAUGUCGGCAUGAGUAGCGACAAUCUUUGUGAGAAUCAAAGACACCGGAAGUCCGAGGUUUCCUACGCAACGUUGAUCGGCGUAGGGUUAGUCGGUCCUAAGGAGUAGCCGAAAGGUGAAUCCGAUGGACAGCUGGUCAAAAUUCCAGCACCGUAAUUAUCCUGCUAUGCAAAGAAGUGACGCGAUAAGGAAUGCUUGGCAUGCCUAUUGGACAUGGCGUGUGGGGCUCUGUAGGGAAGUGAUUGUGGUUAAAAGAACAGUUACGUUAUUAACUGAGGGGGCUUCAAACUUUAAGGCUUAGGCCUUGGAGAAUUAAGCAAGAACUAUGUCGCCGAGAAAAGCUUCGUUGAUAGGGAUAUUACGUCCGUACCGAAAACCGACACAGGUGGACAGGGGUAAAAGCCCCCAGGUGAACGAGAAAACCAUCCUUAAGGAACUCGGCAAAUUAACCCCGUAACUUCGGAAUAAGGGGAGCCUAAAACAUAUUAGACUUAGCGUUGAAAGUGUUCUAGGCCGCAGAGAAUUGGUCUGAGCGACUGUUUAUCAAAAACACAGGUCUGUGCUAAAUCGAAAGAUGACGUAUACAGGCUGACGCCUGCCCAGUGCCGGCAGGUUAACGCGAGAAGUGAGAGCUUUGAGCCGAAGCCCCGGUGAACGGCGGCCGUAACUAUAACGGUCCUAAGGUAGCGAAAUCCCUUGUCGGGUAAGUUCCGACCUGCACGAAAGGCGUAACGACUUGGACACUGUCUCAAGGAUGGACUCGGUGAAAUUGCAUGACCCGUAAAGAUGCGGGUUACGCGCAGCAGGACAAAAAGACCCCGUGGAGCUUUACUGUAGCUUGACAUUGAAUUGUGAUUAAUGAUGUGUAGGAUAGGCGGGAGACUAUGAAACUUGAGCGUCAGCUCGGGUGGAGUCGCCCUUGAAAUACCGCCCUUCUUUGGUCUUGAUUCUAACUAAUUUAAUUAGAACAGUGUCUGGUAGGCAGUUUGACUGGGGCGGUCGCCUCCUAAAAUGUAACGGAGGCGCCCAAAGGUAACCUCAGGCUGGAUGGAAAUCAGCUUUUGAGUGCAUUGGCAUAAGGUUGCUUGACUGCGAGACCUACAAGUCGAGCAGGGACGAAAGUCGGGCAAAGUGAUCCCACGGUACCGAGUGGAAGGGCCGUGGCUUAACGGAUAAAAGCUACCCCGGGGAUAACAGGCUUAUCUCCCCCAAGAGUCCAUAUCGACGGGGAGGUUUGGCACCUCGAUGUCGGCUCGUCGCAUCCUGGGGCUGAAGAAGGUCCCAAGGGUCGGGCUGUUCGCCCGUUAAAGCGGCACGCGAGCUGGGUUCAGAACGUCGUGAGACAGUUCGGUCUCUAUCCGCUGUGCGCGCAGGAAAUUUGAGAGAAGUUGCUCCUAGUACGAGAGGACCGGAGUGAGUAGACCUCUGGUGUGCCGGUUGUAUCGCCAGAUGCAUCGCCGGGUAGCUAUGUCUAUUAAGGAUAAGCGCUGAAAGCAUCUAAGUGCGAAGCCCGUCUCAAGAUAAGAUUUCCCAUCUCUUUAUGAGAGUAAGGCCCCCUGGAGACUAC
Molecule: ribosomal RNA, 1921 nt
Filed under: marine metagenome
Description: bacterial LSU rRNA
Rfam family: Bacterial large subunit ribosomal RNA
Source: RNAcentral